RNAcentral lists this long non-coding RNA (614 nucleotides) under Homo sapiens (human). Its description in RNAcentral is "HSALNT0382626". The record is from RNAcentral. Lineage: Eukaryota; Metazoa; Chordata; Mammalia; Primates; Hominidae.
GCUGCUUAUGACAUCAUGUGACUGAGGGGACACAGACUGAUUUUAGAAGCCUAAAAUUAUCACUCAAUCUGCUCACCAAAAUUCUGAAACAGCCAAGACGGCCCCAAGCCCAAGGAAAGGCUUCAACAACACUGUUCUGUGAAAAUGAUGAUGGCAAUGAAUUAUGCAUUGUUCUCUAAAGUCUGGUACCACGGCCUCAAAUCACAUACUAAAAACAUACUCAAGAUCAACAUAAGCUGGGCAUGCAGGACACACCUGCUAAUCUGUUUUCAAUUAAAGUUUUCCCAUCACCAUGAUGGAUAAAGCUGGUCCUUCGGAAAUCCAACCUCCACAGAGUUGAAAGUGAUACACCUAAAGUUUAAAUCUGACCAAAUCACUCUCCUAUUUAAAAAUGUUCAGGCUGGGUGCAGUGGCUCAUGCCUAUAAUCCCAGCACUUCGGGAGGCUGAGAUGGGAGGAUCCCUUGAGCCCAGGAGCUGAACACCAGCCUAAGCAACAUAAGAAGACUCUAUCACUAAAAUAAAUAAAUAAAUAAAUAAGCAAGCUGGGCAUGGUGGUGGUAGUCCUAGAUACUCGGGAGGCUGAGGUGGGAGGAUUGCUUCAGCCCAGGAGGUC